CAGUCGCCACGGUAAUACGGAGGGUGCAAGCGUUAAUCGGAAUUACUGGGCGUAAAGCGCACGCAGGCGGUUUGUUAAGUCAGAUGUGAAAUCCCCGAGCUUAACUUGGGAACUGCAUUUGAAACUGGCAAGCUAGAGUCUUGUAGAGGGGGGUAGAAUUCCAGGUGUAGCGGUGAAAUGCGUAGAGAUCUGGAGGAAUACCGGUGGCGAAGGCGGCCCCCUGGACAAAGACUGACGCUCAGGUGCGAAAGCGUGGGGAGCAAACAGGAUUAGAUACCCGCGUAGUCCCUGUCUCUUAUAA
Molecule: ribosomal RNA, 301 nt
Filed under: uncultured bacterium
Lineage: Bacteria
Description: partial 16S ribosomal RNA
Rfam family: Bacterial small subunit ribosomal RNA
Source: RNAcentral